Molecule: non-coding RNA, 142 nt
Filed under: Buceros rhinoceros silvestris
Lineage: Eukaryota; Metazoa; Chordata; Aves; Bucerotiformes; Bucerotidae
Description: Eukaryotic large subunit ribosomal RNA
Rfam family: Eukaryotic large subunit ribosomal RNA
Source: Rfam by way of RNAcentral
GACUGGGGCCGUACACCUGUCAAAGCGUAACGCAGGUGUCCUAAGGCGAGCUCAGGGAGGAUGGAAACCUCCCGUGGAGCAGAAGGGCAAAAGCUCGCUUAAUCUUGAUUUUCAGUCACAAACCUGGAGACUUAAAGGUUUG